UGAUGAACGCUGUCGCAGAGUUAUCAGUAGGCCCGUAUAACACUGUUGAGUGACACUUUACAUAUCCGGGCAUUUCUGCAAGGUACGAACCUGAUGACCUGUCACUCGCCUCGCGCAUCGAAAAAGGGGAGACAUUGUGCAAAUGUGAAGCCAACUCACCACAGGGUAGGGACCAGGCCAGAGCCAUCAAAAGGUCUCCCAGGUAGUUGGGGUGGCGGACCACGCCCCACCAGCCAGACACCAGCAGACUCUUUCCUGUAGCUGUGGGGAUCGUCUGCAGAUCUGCAGAGGACAGACAGACAGACAAAGGUUACCACAGCGAUACAGACAUGGCCAAAGAAAUGAAAGGGAAAAAAAGGUGGUUAUCUGGACACCGGUUGGGCACAAAGUACUCCACACAUAUGGAAAAUCAUUCAUUUAUUGACUGUAACUCUAGAGAGCUCACACUUCAGGAAAUUAAUGGCUGGUCCACCUCAGUAAUCUUCCCUUGAAGGUCAAUAAAGAAAUGUUUAGGUCAUUACACAACCAUGACGUAGCAUUAAUCCCACAACAGAACUUACGAGACAGUUUGGGGUCUGAUGGGUUUCUCCUGAAGGCGUUCUUCUCAGAGUUGGACUUCCUGAAGAUGUAGAAGCCAACGACUGAAAGACAGAGACAAAGAGAAAACUCAAACAUCCGACUCAGCUCUAAAGGCUGGGGAAAUAUAUCAACUUUACCUCUUUGGGACUUAACUAUUAGUCUUUAUUUAAUUAAAUGAACCGUGACAUUUGUCAUUGAGUAGCUGUACUUGACCUCAAGAUAAAGUAACAAGAACUAUAGACGGAUGCAGUUAUGUAAUGAAAUAAUGCAGAUGUUGAACAGGGAGGGCCAGUGACUAGUUUGAUGCUCUGCUACUUACGCUUGAGUGCGAUUAUGGCUGCGACAGCGGGGAGGCUCAGGGGGUUGGGGUGGCUGACCAGGUAGUAGGCCUGCAGGGUGUAAGUAAAGGGAACCCAUACCAGAUCACCAAACGCCAGCAUGAAGCCAAAACCAUCGUGCAUCAAGUCCAUGGUGGUCAGGAUGGCCUCCUGAGGAGAAGAAAGAUACAUUCGUCACUCAUUGUUUUCAUGAAAGUAAGAUGGGGCAGAAGUUCAUAUGUUGAUCAUGUGUCAUUGUCUUUUUUUAUUCAUCAAUAUGUUCUAUCAAAUUCCCUCAGAGUGAUAUUUUGGAGAACAGCACAUUUGUUGGCGUGUGCUCUGCUGAGCGUACCUCAUUCCAGAGGCCGUCCACCACGUAGAGCAGCUGGAAGAGGUUCACAAGGAUCAUGGAGUAGGAUGGAGCAUCCAGACGCUGCUGCUUCAUCUCAGCCAGCGCCAUCGCAAAGUUGACCAAACACUGGACGACACACAGAUAAAAUGAAAAAUCAUUACCAAUGUUUCACGUUUCAAAUAUUGAAGAAACAAUGUAGUGCAGGCCUGAUAGACCCAUGUUCACGAGCUGCUAGAAAAUCUGAACUGAAGGUCUGCAUUCCCCCCAUAGCCAUGAGCAAACACAAGGCGCUCAUUCAGCUCAUGCCAUAUGUCUGAGGCUCAAAAUGCAUUCCACAUGUGGCCACCAGAGGGUGCAAUGUGUAUAGAAAAUGACAGGCCCCAUUGAAACAGAUGUGGUAUAAAAGGUACAUGUUUAAAAUAACAUUGUUGCUACUUUCAGUGUAUUUGGCUAUGGAAAUACAAAAGGCCUGUUUUGCUUACAAUAAUAAUAAACUUCGUACUUAAAGUGCUCACUAAAUGUCUUACUGAGACUAAUAUUUGCUUUGGUGUCCCAUGACAACUCACCCAGCCAAUCAGACCGGGGCGCAUCUCGCAGAAGAAUUUCAGGUCAAAUUCUUUGAUGCGUGGAUUGAGCUCAUGUCCUUUGAAGAAGUCAUAGACCACAUUGCCUGGUGAAAUAGAAGAGAAAAGAAAUCAGACAUCAGGAGGCACAACACAAUGUGUCUGAGCAGUGAGAAGGUAACUCUGCACCCCCCCUUACCGGAGCUUCCCCCCAGUGCCAGCUUCUCCGCGGUAGCGUACUGAGAGCGGACAUACAGGUAGACGCUGAGCAGGACGGCGAUGAGGAAGGAGGCCACAGCCAGCUGCAGGAAGUGGCUGUGGAUGUAGGUGAGGUCGACGCCCUGGUGCACCGCUGCUACUGCAACUAGAGAGCUCACCGUGAUGGCGAAGAAACCUGGAGGGACACAGAGCUUUAGAUACAGAUGGGACGGAAGAAAGAUCGACGUGGAAGACAAAAAAACUGAUUAAAACUAAAAAGAAAGUUGAAUGAUAGCAGAAGCAUUGUCUACUCAUGCUCUAAGCCUGUCAGUUAAAGUAACAGAUGAGCCAGCACCUCAAUUUAACAGUCAGUAUUGGUGAAUGCUAGCUGAAUGAAUGACUUGAUUGUGGGUGGGGUUGGAGACAAUGCUCACUUCACACAGCCUCACCAUUGGUUCUGUACUUCAGCCUCUCCCCAGACCGAAGUGGCAUGCCCUCGCUCAGCUAGAGAGGAACAAAAGACAUUUGGAUUAACUGACAUGCAGCUGCUUUUGAGCUAAGAAAGCAGCACGUAGAGCAGGACCUGGAAUAAGAUCCAGAGGAUCACAAGGCCAAAAGCCUGAGCAUCCCAGAAGGCGUCAAGAGGGGGCAGAGGGGGAGGGAAGCUGGUCAGACUGGGGUCCUCCUGGUUGACCUGGAGUACCAGGAAGAGAACCCAGGCCGGCAGGAAGAGCAGCCAGAAGUAUGCUCCUGGAGAAAGGAAAAGACGGUUUGCUGCCUUUGUCUGUUGCUGCCCGUCAAACAAUGGAGGGAGAUUGAUGGAGAUGAAGAGAGACAAAGGGGAGGGGGGGAGAAAGCAACGUGAGGAACAGGCAGAGGGAACGUGACGGGUUCGGGUCAAAAUCCAGGAUUUGCAGAGAGCCAGAAACCCCACAACAACAUGCAGACUCUCCAACAUCACCAGUGCUGAGACAAGAGGAUGAGAAGGCCACUGUGGCACUUACCAGGGGACUCAGCCUGACUUCUAGUGUAUCCUUCAGCCUUGUAUCCCUGCGGGAGGACGGCGGGCCAUCCGUUAGAGCUGCAGCAGCGACAGCCGCCGCCUUGCGGGAGGGCGAGCGCCGCGUGGUCCUUGCUGGGGAGCGGGAGCGGGAGCGGCGGCCUGGAGAUCGAGAUCGAGAGCGAGGGCGGAUCGAGAAAUCUGAAGCAUUCUGAAGGAAAAACAGCAAUUGAGAACAAAAGGAGGGAUUACAACCAAUAAUAACGAGUGUGCCUUGUUUUAUAGGAGAGACAGAAAAGAUAGUCUCAUCUUGUGUAUAAUAUAAUAGCUUCACACAGCAGGGUCGAAAAGAGGUUGUCUGCAAGGCUUGUGCAAUAUAAUGGUAUUCAGAUAUCAAUUAAUCAGAUAUAAAUCGGUCACAAUUUGGGCUCCCCCGCAAUUAAACGACCAUGAUAGACUGCGAUAUUGAAGUUUAGCAUGCGAGCUUUGCUCAUGGAAAACUCAGCUUCAUAUCAAAUCAAGCGCUUCCUACACUUAGAGAUGUUUUGGCUUCACUUUGGAGGAGCCGUCAUGCCGCUGUGUGAGCGCCCUAUGGCGACAGUCUGUGAAAAACUUUCCUGAAUGUUGGAGUUGCAGUCCAGAGUAGAAAAGUAGUAUACCGAUUACAUUACACAUUUUAACCGAGAGCAGACGGUUAAAGAAAGUCUCAUUUUAAUGUAAAGAAUUGUCAAUCAUAAGUAGGAAUAUGGCAAAACAUUGAAAGACAGAGCAGUGCUCUGUUAAUUUAAUUUUGGGUAAAACGUUUUGGUAAAAUGUAAUUUUGCUUCUAGACGAUACACUGUGACUAACAACCGCUUUUAUUUUAAUGCAAAGAUUUCAACAAAACAAAAAGCCUGUUACAUGUUCAGUUUGCUACCUUGAUGUCUUGCUCCCUGAGCUCCAGCUCGGUACCGUCCUUGUAGAUGACGGUGUACAGACUACUUUUGGCAUCGAAGCCCAGCACCUUGACCUCAUAAUACAGGCUGCUGCCAGGCCAGCGGCCCAUGACCAUGUCUCCUCUCUGAUGCCUUACAGCAGGCAUCUUCAGCGACCUGAGAAUAAGUGAGACAAGAGAUGUAGUAUAGUGAGGAGGGAAGAAAGAGACAGAGAGUCAAAUACAGCACACAGAGACGUGAGAGACAAGAACAGGUAGGAAGGGAAGCACAAAAGGAAAGGAGAUAAAAGAUAAUAGUUUCUAGUCUUUCAUCAGAACUGUGUCGGCUGACUUUUGGAUUUUUUUGACAGUAAAAAACAAAAGUAGAGAAGCAAGGUACAUUUUGCAUCACAUGAAUAUGGAAUGUUUUACUUAUUUAUUGAGAAAACUGUCAAUGCAAAGUACAGAGAAGGAUAAAUUGAUACAAUGGCAGGCAUUGUUAUCGAACCCUUUUCUGUUUCCAUACAGUCCAGUGAAGCACAGCAUGAGCUCAAACUUCUACAAUGUCAACUACAGUGGCAUCUCUAAAUCUCAAUGGGCUCAUUGUCACUCACUCUGCCUUAGCAGUUACAUAUUUGACAAACUGCUUUCUGCAUUCACAGUGUAACUACGGCUGGACAAUACAGUUGCCGUAAUUAAUGAAGCAAUGUAGCCGACGAACACAAACUGAAAUAGUCUUAGAAAAACAGCAAUUGUGCAAUUUAUCGUGCGAUUGUACAGAGCAGAUGCUAUUCAAAAAGACACACUAAAGGGCUAGAGAAACCACAGACGAGCUCGCUUUGAGCUGAAAGACGCUCCAGAGCUGAGGAACUGAAGUCGAUGAGACAUUCAAGCAACCCGUUACUACAACAUGCCAAGAGAUGAGUGGGCUUGUUCUGGCCCCUCCCCCAGGCAUUUAGACUACUCUUUAAAAUAAUUCAUGUUGAAAUAUGUUUAAUCCUAGGAGGCCAACAUAAAAAGGUACUGGCACUCUCUCCACAGUCCAUACUGACACACCCCUAGGGGAAUCCCUGAACCUCACAGGAAAAAAAUCAACCGAAUCUUCGUUUCCGAUUUAACUGUUUGCUAAUGUGUGAAACUAAUUUGGCAGACACAUGGUGACGCAUGCAGCAGGGUGAGGUCAUCCUUGAACUAAAAAAAAAACAACAAAAAAAAACAAAAAAAAAAACAGGUUAUACUGAAUUUUUGUCUGCUAACUGCCCUGCUAGUUGUCAGACUGUGAUAAAGAUUCUUCCGCUGUGUCUGCUUCAGCAUUGUUCAGAAAAUUCAACCCUCUCAUAUGGAGGGGUAGAGGGACAAUUUACCACAAAAGGGCUACUUACAUUAGCCUACACUUUAGAAUGGCAAACACCGACUGUAGUGUGCACCACUGGACACAAUGAGGUAGGCCAGGCAAAGUCAGCAUUAUGGAACAUUAGUGACCCGGGAGGCUCAGUGUCUAGAAAACCGCCACACUGCUGCAGAACUGCUGACAGGUCCGUCCCUGCUAGGUUUACCCAAAGCUGUCUGUCUAACAGAGUCAUCCCAUUCAAGUCACAGCCAACCAGGCAAGGCAUUCUAGAUCAGCCACUGUAAAAGUGACAGGAACCUGAGCUGUGGCUGUGGCUGUUAAGUUUGCUAAAUAUUGCAGCCAGUUUGAUGACAACCGUACAAUCUAAAAUGGUUAGAACGGUCGAUCAGUUUUACACCCACCGAGUGGACAAAUACAAUUUUCUUCCAUGCUGCAGAAAGCGACAUCUGAAUGAUUGCCACAUGAAAAAUAAGAAAAUGUAAAGGCAAAUCAUGUUACGCAGCUCAUUCAAAAAAGGUCAAUAUUAACUGAGAUAAAUGGAAGCAAACCCAUGUUUCUGCUAGUCUAAAUCAUUUCCCCAUGCGUCACCUUGCCACUGCCAGCAUGAGAACACAGGGGAAGCAUUACAACAAUGUAUAAAAUGUGUGAUUAGUAGCACCUUAACAAGAAAAGUAAGUUACUGGAAGUGGAGAAAUACUGACUUAUUAGCACAGCACGCUUUGGUUUCAGCAAAGCAAAUUUAGAUCUUUACCUGCGAUGAUUUUAGCCACAUACCCUAAUGACAGCCUCCUGUCAGCAGCAUUACUAAUUCAAAUUCCAGUGGUUAACACAGCACCAUGCUUCAGGAAAUGGCAGGUAGCAUAUAGAAACUGCUUUGAGGUUAGGGUUAGUUGUUUAGGUUGUGCUUUUUUACCCUAAAACGUCCACCUCGGGUGAAAUUAAGCAUGUAUAUCAAACAACUCCUUCAUGUUAAAAGACAAUAAUAGCUAUUAUCUUGACAACAAAGCCACUCAAUCAAACAAUCAAACCCGAUGUGUACCUUAUCUCUUGUAUGCCUUUAUAAACACAAAACAACUCCAGCAGUCCUUCAAGUAAUCGGCUCGUCAGGAUUACAACAAAUAGGUAGAGAGGGUCAAUGUAAGUGGUCAACCCUUAAUCCACUGGUAACUGAUCUAAUCUUGUGAAAAUAAUCAUGAAAAUCCACACCACGUCAGUGAGAAACCACCUCAAUAUGACACACCCGAAGCUCGUCCCCGCCCUGGCUUGCCAGCAGAGUUCCACAUGGGAUGUGAAAGUCAAGGCAGGACCGUGACCGAUGAGAGUUUCCCCAUCAGAUGUGAGGCCGGGCUGAUGAAGAGAUACGGGCUGUCCCGUAGGUGGAGUUUUCACAUAAAUCCCCCCUGUGCAGAAAACUGCUGUUUAGCUCCACCUGGUAUGCAGCCCCUUUGACAGGCACCGUUCAAAUUAAGUUGUAAACACCGACCAUUGAGACGAUAACGUGCUGUAAAACUGUUGACAUUGCAGUGCCGUAUUAUUUACCUUUUAUAGCGGUAGGAUACAUCCGAAUGCUUUCCUUUGGUGAACCAAACAGCAACAACACGGAUUAAACCCAUACAACACAAACUUUAACGUAACUGUCCACGUUAAAGUGCCACCAAAUGUCAGGUUAAUGUAACGUUACUGUUAAGUCGCGAGAGCAACGACCACUAUUUUCUUGUAUUGCGAGGAUACAUUAUCUAAUGUGAACCGUCUAUCUGAGUAAGUAACAUUUACAGUUGAAUGGAAAAUACGUCAAACACGUGAAAUCUUCGUUUGGAUUUAUAUUGUUAGUCUAUUGCGCAACUUUCAGUGAGUUAUCAUUUGGCGUUAAAUUACGGUAAUUACGAAUAAUUUGGAGCACUUUUGUUAAUUGACACUAACGUAUAUAUUUUUUUAAAGUCUGCCUUUUUUACACUGCAGUCAUUCAAUUAAUUAUAUGUUUUGCUGCUUAAUACAAAUGCGAGAUGAAUCUAACAGUAGUUAAUGAUAUCCUUUAGUUUAUACCCCAACUCAGUUCUAAUGUAACGGACCUGUUGCUUUAAAGAAGUGCGCCCCACGUUAGCUCGGUGAACUCAAAGAUAGCCCUCAUGCAGCAGCAAGCGACACAAACGAAGGAGGGAAAACGUCAUGCAUUCAAACGCUGUUGGCGAAGACAACAAACGUCAAAGAAAUAAACCGUGAGCACACGUGUGGAUAAGUUCGACAAACACUCAAUUCAGUGAUGGUAUCCAAGCGAAAGUCUUAAAAACACGAACGUUAAUGUGCAUCUAAAAACCGACUCGGCUAACGUUAGCAUUAUCGUUACUAUUUACUUGUCUUUGAGUGGACAGGCACCGUCUAAUUUCUGGCCAUCACGUCGCUAAUUCUGGAGACGCUUGGGUCCAUAACGGUAACGUUAUAGUUAAAGUCACCUGGACGAAAAACUAUCAAACAUCUCUAAUACAACUCUGAGCCAUGAAGAAGAAUAAGGACUGGCUGAUUACACACAACCUAAUAGUCGCUCCAGCCUUUUAACUUUGACCAUUGGAAACAAGGUAAGAUUCCAGGAACUAGUCGGCGCCUAGUCUCUGUUAACUGCUAAAACCAAAUUUCCCAACAAAGAGAAACGUACAGCGAUUUGCCAUUUUUCAUCACAAGCCUAUGUAUUGAGGCGUACUUACCUUAUUAUUGCAGGAGUAAUUCCAGUGAGUAAAACUGAUAAAAUAUUCCUUGACAAGACGAGGAAAUAAUAAAUUAAGAUUUAUAUUCUAAAAACGGACGGCGAUAACGUUUCACGUAGCGCUCCUUCUCCCUCCCUCUCUGGGCAAAACCCACCAGUGACCAGGAAGGCGCGAAGGCUGCUGAUUGGCUCGUUCAGCGUUCAUUUCAAACGGCUCUGCAAUCUGAUUGGUUAUCGGUGGGUUUUAACUGAGCCAGGAUUGGUUUAGAGGGGGUUACGAUUACUUUGUUUACUGGUUUCAAAUUACCGCCAGGCAAAAUGGCAGAAGUAGCAAAACCAUAUUAAAACUCUUAUCGAUAUAAGAUAGAAACAGUUUGCUUCAUAAUUCCCCUGAUUUUAUUACACAUCCCUUACACUAACACAGCUAUCAUGGAAAUAAUUAUUUCAGAAAUGAACAUAAUGAAUUAACAAAAUAGUAGUCAUAGCAGUAAUAUUAAAAUACUAAGAUUACAUUUUAUAUUAAUGUAAGAUAGAUUGUUCAUAUAUAAUUGUUUAAAAAAAAUGACACAGAGAGGAAGAAAUUCUAUGUUUCUGCCGUUAAACUAUUAUAAAGGUACAAUACGUCUUCUGGAAGACUUGCCAUGCUGUGUUGAUCAAACUCUUAAUACGGAUGUGUUAAAUCACUUUGGACCAGUGUUGCAAUAGACUGCACUUGUGUUGCACUGUGUUCAGAUGUGAUGAGAUAUAUAUAUAUACAUACAC
Molecule: long non-coding RNA, 8733 nt
Organism: Anarrhichthys ocellatus (wolf-eel)
Lineage: Eukaryota; Metazoa; Chordata; Actinopteri; Perciformes; Anarhichadidae
Exons: 5
Source: RefSeq, a predicted model, not a curated record